RNAcentral lists this small RNA (267 nucleotides) under Schinkia azotoformans LMG 9581. RNAcentral's name for it is "Bacillus azotoformans LMG 9581 BsrG". It matches the Rfam family "BsrG". From Rfam's summary of the family: bsrE, bsrG and bsrH pair through intermolecular interactions with antisense sRNAs. SR4 interaction with the 3'UTR of bsrG RNA promotes bsrG degradation and inhibits its translation. The record is from Rfam by way of RNAcentral. Lineage: Bacteria; Bacillati; Bacillota; Bacilli; Caryophanales; Bacillaceae.
UACAAUAGAAUCGGCUCACUCAAAGGCGGUCUGACUCACUCCCCCGAUUGAAAGGUGGUGAUGUCCAUGACAACAUUUGAAGCAUUAAUGCUAAUGUUAACAUUCGGAUUACUGAUUGUUGCUAUGUUGUCACUCGACAAAAAGAAAUAGACCUCCCUUGAGCCUAGACAACUUGUAGGGAUUGGUCUAUUUCAUUACCCAAUUCGAGCCAGCCACUCUUUGAGGGACGGCUAUUGUACUCGACCAUAGGUGUUAGCGCACCUAUGG